CGCACAUUGCGCCCUUUGGUAUUCCGAGGGGCACGCCUGUUCGAGCGUCAUUUAAACCAUCAAGCCCAGCUUGGUCUUGGACGUGGUCGACUGACCUGUCUGUAACCCGUCGGCGGUGCGGUCCGGCCCCAAGCGUAGCAAGUUUUCCGCUUAGGGAGCCCGUGGCCGCGCCUGUCGGAUAAUGGCCACCUUUUAAAGUUUGACCUCGGAUCAGGUGGGGAUACCCGCUGAACUUAA
This 237-nucleotide unclassified non-coding RNA is filed under the name Dothideomycetes sp. Its description in RNAcentral is "partial contains 5.8S ribosomal RNA, internal transcribed spacer 2, and large subunit ribosomal RNA". Lineage: Eukaryota; Fungi; Ascomycota; Dothideomycetes. The record is from RNAcentral.